This 538-nucleotide long non-coding RNA is filed under the name Phasianus colchicus (ring-necked pheasant). Its description in RNAcentral is "lncRNA (ENSPCLG00000016967.1)". Lineage: Eukaryota; Metazoa; Chordata; Aves; Galliformes; Phasianidae. The record is from RNAcentral.
GGGUUGCUGACGUACACAGGUUGUAUGAAUAGAGGCCUGAAAUGACAACUGGUGGAUCAGAGCUGAGGACUGCCCAGGGGCACAGGCAGAGCUGGAAGCAGGCUCUCCCAAGCUUCCCUGAGCAGGGUCUGGCAGCACAGAGCAAGACCAGAACAUAGCCCUGUGCCAUAGGCAGGUACCAGUGCAAGCCCAGUGAGGCCUGGUGCUUCUUGGACCAGCUGCAAACCACCCACACAUUAUCAGAAACAGGUGAACUCAUUAGACUUUCUGAUUUAAGCUUUUCCUCUGUAUUUUCUAAGAUAGAAAUACUUUGCAAUGGAGCAAGGCCUCCUUCCUUUCCUUCUCCAGGGCACAACCUGUUCUCCAGUUGUUAUAUGACCUCUUGUGAGGAAUUAUCAAGAUGGAUACAUUUGUAACAGAAAAAUAAUUCUCUUUUCUCUCAAAAGACUGGGAAGGCUGUCAGGCGCUCUGGGGCAAUGGAAAUAAGUAGUUGAUGCCUCCCGUAAAUAAAGAUAUGAAAUGUUUGUAGUUGUGAACA